GACGAACGCUGGCGGCGUGCCUAACACAUGCAAGUCGAACGGGGUAAGGCCCUUCGGGGUUUUACCUAGUGGCGGACGGGUGAGUAACGCGUGAAGAACCUGACUUUAAGAGGGGGAUAACAUCGGGAAACCGAUGCCAAUACCGCAUAAGACCACGUUCUCGCCUGGGAAUGGGGUAAAAGGAGCAAUUCACUUAGAGAGGGCUUCGCGUUCCAUUAGAUAGUAGGCGGGGUAACGGCCCACCUAGUCAUUGAUGGAUAGCCGGACUGAGAGGUUGAACGGCCACACUGGGACUGAGACACGGCCCAGACUCCUACGGGGGGCAGCAGUGGGGAAUAUUGGGCAAUGGGGGCAACCCUGACCCAGCAACGCCGCGUAAAGGAAGAAGGUUUUCGGAUCGUAUACUUUUGUCCCAUGGGAAGAAACAAAUGACGGUACCAUGGGAGGAAGCCCCGGCUAACUACGUGCCAGCAGCCGCCGUAAUAC
This 486-nucleotide ribosomal RNA is filed under the name uncultured bacterium. RNAcentral's name for it is "bacterial SSU rRNA". It matches the Rfam family "Bacterial small subunit ribosomal RNA", at positions 28 to 526 of the family's 1533-position model. The record is from RNAcentral.